This is a non-coding RNA of Brassica napus (rape), 126 nucleotides long. The record is from Rfam. Lineage: Eukaryota; Viridiplantae; Streptophyta; Magnoliopsida; Brassicales; Brassicaceae.
GGAAUAUAAGAACCCGUUUUUUUAAUUUUUAAUUAAAAAAGCUAAGAAUCGGUUCUUAAAUAAGAUAUUUAAGAACUGGUUCUUAAAUUUUUUAAUUAAAAGUUAAGAAACAUGUUUUUAGAUUCC